This 446-nucleotide ribosomal RNA is filed under the name uncultured bacterium. RNAcentral describes it as "partial 16S ribosomal RNA". It matches the Rfam family "Bacterial small subunit ribosomal RNA", at positions 329 to 792 of the family's 1533-position model. The record is from RNAcentral.
GUCCAGACUCCUACGGGAGGCAGCAGUGGGGAAUAUUGCACAAUGGGGGAAACCCUGAUGCAGCGACGCCGCGUGAGUGAAGAAGUAUUUCGGUAUGUAAAGCUCUAUCAGCGGGAAAGAAAAUGACGGUACCUGACUAAGAAGCCCCGGCUAACUACGUGCCAGCAGCCGCGGUAAUACGUAGGGGGCAAGCGUUAUCCGGAUUUACUGGGUGUAAAGGGAGCGUAGGCGGAAAGGCAAGUCAGAAGUGAAAGCCCAAGGCUCAACCAUGGGACUGCUUUUGAAACUGUCAAACUAGAGUACGGGAGAGGUAAGAGGAAUUCCUAGUGUAGCGGUGAAAUGCGUAGAUAUUAGGAGGAACACCAGUGGCGAAGGCGGCUUACUGGACGAUGACUGACGCUGAGGCUCGAAAGCGUGGGGAGCAAACAGGAUUAGAUACCCGGGUA